GAAACUAACCAGGAUCCCAUCCAGUAACGCGCGAGUGAACAGGGAUUAGCCCAGCACCGAAGCCUGCGUCUGUUUGGGCGUUAGGCAAUGUGGUGUUUAGGUUGAUGCUUUGGAGAGUUGCUUCGUUCCAAGUCCAAUCAUGAAUAUGGCUUUAGCAUGGCCCAGAGAGGGUGAAAGGCCAGUGUGGACGGAGUGGCACUCUACUGCGUUAACUUUGGAGUCGGGUUGUUUGAGAAUGCAUCCCAAAGUUGGUGGUAAACUCCAUCUAAGGCUAAAUACUGGCUCGAGUCCGAUAGCGAACAAGUACCGUGAGGGAAAGUUGAAAAGUACUCUGAAGAGAGAGUUAACAGUGCGUGAAACCGCUUAGAGGCAAACGGGUGUAGUCAAGCUGCAAGCCUGUUGAAAUAGGGGGGCCGGAAUGGCGUGAGUCUGAGCACAUAGAGCUGGCGUAUAGGUGCGGCCCUAGGGUCGUCUUCGGUUAGCAAUAGCCGGAGCUGUGACGUGGCAUCCGCCGCUGCAGGCCUGUGCGUCGGUUGCUCUGCUGGCCCUCUCACUUUCUUCAGGCGUAUGUCACGACCGCCAUUGUUGUCGGUCUGCUAGGUCUAAACUGUAGGACGGGUAGUCUUGUGCUGCUUGUCCUGCGGGGGCAGGUAGCCGAGUCAGCGCCUUGUGUGUUGGCACGGUGUUAUUUGGCUGGGCCUAGUGGUAACUGUAACUGUGCAAUGUGGCGGGGCUGGCGGUGCAUAGUCAAUCUCUGGCGUGCUAAAACGGGCUGGUACGACGUGUGUUUGGCUGGUUGUUGUCGGUUUCGCCCCGUCCUGCCACCCACACAGUUGCGGUUUAGCUCGUGGCUGC
RNAcentral lists this ribosomal RNA (855 nucleotides) under Pseudotagia rubri. Its description in RNAcentral is "partial large subunit ribosomal RNA". It matches the Rfam family "Eukaryotic large subunit ribosomal RNA", at positions 61 to 641 of the family's 3401-position model. The record is from RNAcentral. Lineage: Eukaryota; Metazoa; Platyhelminthes; Monogenea; Mazocraeidea; Macrovalvitrematidae.